This 301-nucleotide ribosomal RNA is filed under the name uncultured bacterium. RNAcentral's name for it is "partial 16S ribosomal RNA". It matches the Rfam family "Bacterial small subunit ribosomal RNA", at positions 509 to 807 of the family's 1533-position model. The record is from RNAcentral.
CAGCCGCCGCGGGAAUACGGAGGAUCCAAGCGUUAUCCGGAAUCAUUGGGUUUAAAGGGUCCGUAGGCGGUCUUGUAAGUCAGUGGUGAAAGCCCAUCGCUCAACGGUGGAACGGCCAUUGAUACUGCAGGACUUGAAUUAUUGGGAAGUAACUAGAAUAUGUAGUGUAGCGGUGAAAUGCUUAGAGAUUACAUGGAAUACCAAUUGCGAAGGCAGGUUACUACCAAUUGAUUGACGCUGAUGGACGAAAGCGUGGGUAGCGAACAGGAUUAGAUACCCGCGUAGUCCCUGUCUCUUAUAC